This 547-nucleotide ribosomal RNA is filed under the name uncultured archaeon. RNAcentral describes it as "bacterial SSU rRNA". It matches the Rfam family "Archaeal small subunit ribosomal RNA", at positions 19 to 577 of the family's 1478-position model. The record is from RNAcentral.
GGACCUGCCAAGUAGGGAUUGGGACUAAGCCAUGCGAGUAAACUCGAAAGAGUGGCGCACGGCUCAGUAACACGUAGUCAAUCUACCCUGAGGACGGGGAUAACCCCGGGAAACUGGGGAUAAACCCCGAUAGGUCAUAGCUCCUGGAAUGGGCUAUGGCUCAAAUCUAUAUGGCCUUAGGAUGGGACUGCGUCCGAUCAGGUUGUUGGUGGGGUAAUGGCCCACCAAGCCUAUAACCGGUACGGGCUCUGAGAGGAGGAGCCCGGAGAUGGGCACUGAGACAAGGGCCCAGGUCCUAUGGGGCGCAGCAGGCGCGAAACCUCCGCAAUGGGCGAAAGCCCGACGGGGUCAGUCCGAGUGGCUCCUGCUAAAGGAGUCUUUUGCCAGCUGUAAACAGGCUGGUGAAUAAGGGGUGGGCAAGCCUGGUGUCAGCCGCCGCGGUAAUACCAGCACCUCGAGUGGUCGGGAUGAUUAUUGGGCCUAAAGCAUCCGUAGCCGGUGUAGUAAGUCCUCCGUUAAAUCCACCUGCUCAACAGGUGGGCUGCGG